Molecule: non-coding RNA, 133 nt
Organism: Gossypium raimondii (Peruvian cotton)
Lineage: Eukaryota; Viridiplantae; Streptophyta; Magnoliopsida; Malvales; Malvaceae
Source: Rfam
UGUUAAAAAUUUCUCCAUUUAUACUAUUAUAAAAUUAGCGUGGUUGAUGAAAUAAUCAGACAGUGCAAUGUUUACCUCAUGUUGAUAUACAAGGACUAGUUUUUAACAAUACAAAUGAGUAAAAUUUUUAAUA